UAUUUGUGGAAAAUCAAAGUUCCUGCUAAAAUAAGAGUCUUCUUGUGGCUAGUGAAUAAAAAGAGCAUUUUGACUAGGGAUGUUUUACUCAAAAAGGGGUGGAAAGGAGAGAAAGAAUGUGUGUUUUGUGGACAAGAUGAAUCAAUUGAUCAUUUGUUGUUCACAUGCUCUAUGACCUCUCUGCUUUGGAGUUUGGUCCGAUGCGUUUGUGGUCUAAAGUCCAGUCCGUUAAGUGUCAAAGAUUGUUUUGGGGGGUGGAUUAAUAAAUUCAAUAAAGAAGACAAGAAAAUGGUGAUGAUAGGGGUUUCUGCUUUAUUCUGGGCAAUUUGGAAAUGUAGAAAUGCAAUUGUCUUUGAGAGAAAAAGGAUUAAUGAUCCUUUCCAGAUAAUCAAACUAAUGGUUCGAUGGUUGCUUGAUUGGUCCAUUUUGCAGACAGAGGAGCCACAAAAAAAAUGCUGGAACUGGGGGCAAGAGUUCUAG
Molecule: ribosomal RNA, 480 nt
Filed under: Triticum aestivum (bread wheat)
Lineage: Eukaryota; Viridiplantae; Streptophyta; Magnoliopsida; Poales; Poaceae
Description: partial small subunit ribosomal RNA
Source: RNAcentral